This is a non-coding RNA of Ceratobasidium sp. 423, 99 nucleotides long. The record is from the annotation of a GenBank genome assembly. Lineage: Eukaryota; Fungi; Basidiomycota; Agaricomycetes; Cantharellales; Ceratobasidiaceae.
ACGCCGUUGGUGAAAUGGUUAUCAUGCUUGCCUUCCACUAAAAUUGCUUACCUAAGCAACGGGCAGCAAGCGGCGGGGGUUCGAUUCCCCCACGGCGUA